This 492-nucleotide ribosomal RNA is filed under the name uncultured bacterium. RNAcentral describes it as "partial 16S ribosomal RNA". It matches the Rfam family "Bacterial small subunit ribosomal RNA", at positions 28 to 507 of the family's 1533-position model. The record is from RNAcentral.
GAUGAACGCUAGCUACAGGCUUAACACAUGCAAGUCGAGGGGAAACGCCAUCGAAAUCUUGCUUUUGAUGGGCGUCGACCGGCGCACGGGUGAGUAACGCGUAUCCAACCUGCCCAUCACUUGUGGAUAACCUUGCGAAAAUAAGACUAAUACCCAAUGAUAUCUCUAGAAGACAUCUGAAAGAGAUUAAAGAUUUAUCGGUGAUGGAUGGGGAUGCGUCUGAUUAGCUUGUUGGCGGGGUAACGGCCCACCAAGGCAACGAUCAGUAGGGGUUCUGAGAGGAAGGUCCCCCACAUUGGAACUGAGAAACGGGCCAAACACCUACGGGAGGGAGCAGUGAGGAAUAUAGGUCAAUGGGAGAGAGCCUGAACGAGCCAAGUAGCGUGCAGGAAGACGGCCUUAUGGGUUGUAAACUGCUUUUAUAAGGGAAUAAAGGGAGGGUAGUGACUCUUUUUGUAGGUACCUGAUGAAUAAGGACCGGCUAAUUACGUG